Molecule: ribosomal RNA, 497 nt
Filed under: uncultured bacterium
Lineage: Bacteria
Description: partial 16S ribosomal RNA
Rfam family: Bacterial small subunit ribosomal RNA
Source: RNAcentral
GAUGAACGCUGGCGGCGUGCCUAAUACAUGCAAGUCGAGCGAACGGACGAGAAGCUUGCUUCUCUGAUGUUAGCGGCGGACGGGUGAGUAACACGUGGAUAACCUACCUAUAAGACUGGGAUAACUUCGGGAAACCGUAGCUAAUACCGGAUAAUCUUUUGAACCGCAUGGUUCAAAAGUGAAAGACGGUCUUGCUGUCACUUAUAGAUGGAUCCGCGCUGCAUUAGCUAGUUGGUAAGGUAACGGCUUACCAAGGCAACGAUGCAUAGCCGACCUGCGAGGGUGAUCGGCCACACUGGAACGUGGACACGGUCCAGACGCCUACGGGAGGCAGCAGUAGGGAAUCUUCCGCAAUGGGCGAAAGCCUGACGGAGCAACGCCACGUGAGUUAUGAAGGUCUUCGGAUCGUAAUACUCUGUUACGAGUGGAGAACAGAUGUGUAAGUAACUGUGCACAUCGUGACGGUACCUAGUCAGAAAGCCACGGCUAACUACGUG